AGGGAAGGAAGAGUUUUUUGCACCAGUAGGUACUUGUUGCCAUAACGUAUGGGUCUCCUAUCAACAGAACUGUAAGCCAACACAAAACUAAGCUGAACUAUCUCAAGGUGAGUCACAAUCAUUCUAGUUUCCAAACUCUCCAUCAACCACUCAGCUGCUAGCGUUCUGGCAACUAGAACCUUAAGACAGAAAGAUCUUGUAUUACGUUGUGGUAUCUGUGCAUCCGUGCUUCUGAAGUAAGGACUCAGUAACAAUUUGAUGUUUCUUCUUUUUCCCAUAUAGUACGAAAGUGAUAGAAUACUGUCAGCACUGCAGUGAAAUUUUUUACUCCUCCAGUCUGCAGUUAGCUGCUAAUCAAGACUCAUUUAACAACUCUGUCAGAAACGAAGUGUCACGAAGUGGUGGCAUUUACUGCCAGAGGGUCCAGAUACCUCAGCCAUGGUCAGCUGCUGUUGCUCAAGUCAUGCUGCUGCUUUUACUAAAUGAUUUUGUUCGAGCUUCUUUGAAGUAACCUCUUGCAAGAUGUUUUUUCCUUAAGGCUGUGACAGACCAUUUAUAAUGAUGCUUGGUAUAGCUGGUACGUGCUAACAACCUGAAAGCUAACCCUGUGCCUGCUGAAAGCCUAAACCAAGGCUGCAUAAUAUCCUUCAAGUUAGGGAUAGGAAUAGUGUUACUGAAGUAUGUUCCAGUGCUUGAGUGGUAAACGAAAUGUAGACUGAGUGAAGCAGGCUUUCCACUUACAUAAAAGGGGGUGGAGGGACAAAUAGUUGAAAUAGUACAGCUAUGCUGGGAGGGGAACUGAGAAAGCUGAGUAAAUGCUGUCCGUCACAACUCCUGCUGGGAAAGAAGGGUAGGGUGGUGCUUGACAAAGAGGGGGUAGUAGGAAAACUAAGGCUCUAUCUGGAACAGAUUUUUGAGGUGGGUGGAAAGGUCUAGCAUGGUUCAAACCAGUGUAAGUGCUAUUAGUUAAGAGGAAAAAUACUUAAGUCUUUUCUGAUCUCCCUUUAUGAGCUGCUUGGGCUAAUCUACACAAGGAUUUGCUUGAGUUUUCCCUCUUACCGGUUUAAUUUGACAUUUUUCUACUGUUAUUAUCUAACUCAUAAGUGAAUUCUUCUGCUAACAUGGAAGUCAAGCAGUAAAGAAACCUGAAUAUUCAACUUGAUCUACAUAUCGACUGCUGCAAUUAUAUAUUAAAAACAUCACUUUAAACAGUUCUUAAAGAAGCUCAAAUAAGCUUACUUUCUGCAGAGGUUGUGCAUGAUAAGUGUAAUACCAGAUAGUAAACAUGACAGAAUACUAUUUAAGUUAAAAUGGUGUUGCACCACAGUAUCUCCCUAGCUGGAGACCACUAAAAAUCGUGCCUGUAUUUGCUCUCAGAGCUUUCCUGAAGCAUGGCUAAGUACAUGGUCACAAAAGACUAAGAUCUUCUUUGACUGCAAGAUACUAGUAUGACUGUCCAGAAUAAGUAGUGCAAAACAUAGAUAGUCAGAAUACAUUGAUGUCUUUGCUGCAAACAUUCUCUCCCAGACACAGGGAGUACAAAGACAGGCAACACUUCAUGGUGUGUUUAAAAUUUGAACAAAGUUUUUGGGAAAUAUCCCAGCUCUUCCUUGUAUUUCUCCUCUCAUCCAGUCCUCGUCUACAGAUUCCAGCUCUGUUAUAAAAUCUCCUGCUUUGAAGGAAAGCUCAUCUUCAUUUUCACCAUUAAAAUCAUAGAGAGCUUUGGCUUUUUU
RNAcentral lists this long non-coding RNA (1733 nucleotides) under Gallus gallus (chicken). Lineage: Eukaryota; Metazoa; Chordata; Aves; Galliformes; Phasianidae. The record is from RNAcentral.